Molecule: long non-coding RNA, 223 nt
Filed under: Homo sapiens (human)
Lineage: Eukaryota; Metazoa; Chordata; Mammalia; Primates; Hominidae
Description: LHRI_LNC1533.1
Source: RNAcentral
CUGCCUCAGCCCAAGAGAAGCAAAACACUUAAAUGUAUCCUAGGAAAACCUUUAUUUCCUAAGAAAAAAGACAGACUUAGCUGUCACCAUCAAUUCCAUCCCUUUUCCUGCCUUGUACAUUAUGCCUCCAGCAGUGGUGAUCUUCUUUCAAGCAUUGGGGAAAGGCCAAAAGAUUCACCAACACUGGUCUUGAUGUUAUUGACUCAAAAGUAGCAGCAACUUA